GGUCUCUUGGCGCAGUCGGUAGCGCACGGUACUAAUAUUUCCCGAGUCUGGAUGUUAGUUGUAUGCCGCGGUCGGCGGUUCGAGCCCGUCAGAGACCA
Non-coding RNA from Saitozyma sp. JCM 24511, 98 nucleotides. Lineage: Eukaryota; Fungi; Basidiomycota; Tremellomycetes; Tremellales; Trimorphomycetaceae. The record is from the annotation of a GenBank genome assembly.